This is a small nuclear RNA of Sphaerodactylus townsendi, 194 nucleotides long. RefSeq annotates it as U2 spliceosomal RNA. The record is from RefSeq and is a predicted model, not a curated record. The transcript has a single exon. Lineage: Eukaryota; Metazoa; Chordata; Lepidosauria; Squamata; Sphaerodactylidae.
ACAGCAUCCCAGUGAUUCCGGCCGUGAAAGCCUUCGACAAUACGUCAUAUCUGUUCUUUUCAGUUUAACAUCUGAUACAUCUUCUCUUUGAGGGUUAUAUAUUAAAUAGAUUUUUGGAACUGGAAGAUGCAACAGUGUUAGCACAGCUCUAAGGAUUUAUAAUAAGCAAUAGAAUUAUUUAAGGUUUUCUAACU